RNAcentral lists this ribosomal RNA (253 nucleotides) under uncultured bacterium. Its description in RNAcentral is "partial 16S ribosomal RNA". It matches the Rfam family "Bacterial small subunit ribosomal RNA", at positions 524 to 776 of the family's 1533-position model. The record is from RNAcentral.
UACGGAGGGUGCAAGCGUUAUCCGGAUUUACUGGGUUUAAAGGGUGUGUAGGUGGACUAUUAAGUCAGGGGUGAAAUCCCACGGCCCAACCGUGGAAGUGCCUCUGAUACUGCCGGCCUCGAGGGGGAUAGGGGCGUGCGGAACUCAGGGUGGAGCGGUGAAAUGCGUAGAUAUCCUGAGGAACACCGGUGGCGAAAGCGGCGCGCUGGAUCCCUUCUGACGCUGAGGCGCGAAAGCCAGGGGAGCAAACGGG